This 495-nucleotide long non-coding RNA is filed under the name Homo sapiens (human). RNAcentral describes it as "non-protein coding lnc-C8orf48-1:6". The record is from RNAcentral. Lineage: Eukaryota; Metazoa; Chordata; Mammalia; Primates; Hominidae.
UACAGAAACUUGAAGAACAACAUCAUUUCAGUCAGGAGUACCAAAAAGAGCUUUUAAGAAAACGGAAGCAGAAAAUGGCAUAGAAGAAGCUGAACCUAAAAUAUUCAGUGAGUAAUAGUCUCCUGUGCUUUGAAGGGCACCAGCAGUGUAAGGAAGGCUAUUUGUAAGGGAUUUGGCAUUGUGCCUGUCAGUGACUUCAGUGAGUGACAGCAGGGUCAGUGGAGUGACAGGUAGUGAGGGCUUGUAGAUAAACCAGUUGAAGUCAGAAGGCAAAGGAUCCUUUGAUGUAGUCCAUUCAGAGCAGAAGGAGAAGAAUGCAGAGUGGAUCUGCAGGGACAAAUAGAAGAUGCAGCGCAAUGGAGAUACUGUUUAAUGCCGCAGGGGACCUGGGCUCUUUUCGUCUCUCCUAUGUAAAGAGAAUUUCCUCCAUCCAAGUAAAACUGAUGCGAUCGGUCAGCUUUCUAGACAACAGAAAUAAAUAAUUCUCUCUGUGAG